Molecule: ribosomal RNA, 471 nt
Filed under: Entamoeba histolytica
Lineage: Eukaryota; Evosea; Mastigamoebida; Endamoebidae
Description: SSU rRNA
Rfam family: Eukaryotic small subunit ribosomal RNA
Source: RNAcentral
UAUCUGGUUGAUCCUGCCAGUAUUAUAUGCUGAUGUUAAAGAUUAAGCCAUGCAUGUGUAAGUAUAAAGACCAAGUAGGAUGAAACUGCGGACGGCUCAUUAUAACAGUAAUAGUUUCUUUGGUUAGUAAAAUACAAGGAUAGCUUUGUGAAUGAUAAAGAUAAUACUUGAGACGAUCCAGUUUGUAUUAGUACAAAAUGGCCAAUUCAUUCAAUGAAUUGAGAAAUGACAUUCUAAGUGAGUUAGGAUGCCACGACAAUUGUAGAACACACAGUGUUUAACAAGUAACCAAUGAGAAUUUCUGAUCUAUCAAUCAGUUGGUAGUAUCGAGGACUACCAAGAUUAUAACGGAUAACGAGGAAUUGGGGUUCGACAUCGGAGAGGGAGCUUUACAGAUGGCUACCACUUCUAAGGAAGGCAGCAGGCGCGUAAAUUACCCACUUUCGAAUUGAAGAGGUAGUGACGACACAU